GUGGGGAAUAUUGGACAAUGGGCGAAAGCCUGAUCCAGCCAUGCCGCGUGUGUGAAGAAGGUCUUCGGAUUGUAAAGCACUUUAAGUUGGGAGGAAGGGCAGUAAGUUAAUACCUUGCUGUUUUGACGUUACCGACAGAAUAAGCACCGGCUAACUUCGUGCCAGUAGCCGCGGUAAUACGAAGGGUGCAAGCGUUAAUCGGAAUUACUGGGCGUAAAGCGCGCGUAGGUGGUUUUGUAAGUUGGAGGUGAAAUCCCCGGGCUCAACCUGGGAACUGCCUCCAAAACUGCAUGACUAGAGUACGGUAGAGGGUAGUGGAAUUUCCUGUGUAGCGGUGAAAUGCGUAGAUAUAGGAAGGAACACCAGUGGCGAAGGCGACUACCUGGACUGAUACUGACACUGAGGUGCGAAAGCGUGGGGAGCAAACAGGAUUAGAAACCCGAGUAGUCC
This 450-nucleotide ribosomal RNA is filed under the name uncultured bacterium. RNAcentral describes it as "partial 16S ribosomal RNA". It matches the Rfam family "Bacterial small subunit ribosomal RNA", at positions 354 to 796 of the family's 1533-position model. The record is from RNAcentral.